CACAACUCAAAGUAAUAUAUGUUGGCUUCUUUUAGACCUACAAAUAUCAUAAUAAUAAAAUGAAAUAUAUAUUUUUUUUUAUCAAUAUCCAAUAAAUUGGUUCAAGAACAUAUUAUUAGACUCGACCUUCAUGUCCCAACACCAAAGCAUAUAACCCAAUCUAAACAUAAACAAUAGUCUAAACAACUUUUGAGAACAAAAUAACAUAGAUUACAAUAAUUCUCCACUUCGCUAUCUUGAUCAAACACCUUGAUAUUACUCCUUUAUCUCGUCAUGAGAGAAUCCUACAUAUAUUCCAUACAACAAAAACAAGGAGUGAGAUAUGUUAUACCUGACUCAAAGUUGUAUCAUAGUGGCAAUGCAUAGAAACAAACACACAAAUAUACAUUUUUUUAAAGGCACAAAAAUACAUUUAUAACUUCAAACCGUCAAAGGUAAACAUAUCCCUAUACAAAAGAUAUAUAUCAAAUACAUUAUUUCUUCAAUUCUACUAGUCCAUAUACAUGUUGCAAUGACUACUCAUAUUCAAAAAAGUUGACUAGGAGGACAAGGAAAGUCAAAAUAGAACAUCAUGCAAAAAAUAUGGCUACUUAGUGGUGUUUGUGAGUCGGAUAUCCAUGACUCAAAAGAGAUUAAAUUUGCAUUGAAGAUAUGAUAAUAUCAUGUGUAUUGGCGCAUGAUGAGGUUUAUUUUUGGCCUCAUCCUUUAUAAAUAAUUUUAUUAUUAUUAUUAUUAUUACUACAAUUCUACAUUUGGUUAGAAGACACGAGAGUGUUAUUUUAUCCUAAAUAUUACACUUUGAUUGACUACUAAUAUCUAGAAUUUGUUAAGUAAGAACACACUUGGACGUCAUUAGCGAGAGAAUUUUAGAGGAUGGACCAUAAUCAAUGUUAACUUUUAGUUUAGGAUACAUCAUAUACCUAUGAUAUAUUUGAAUGGAACAUUAAUUAGAAUGUAUGUUAUCAUUGUGCAGAUUAUGUGUAAUUUUUUAUGUGUGGAGUAUUAUUUAUGUUAUUUACUUAGGUUUCAUCUUUGGAAGUUUGAUAAUCUAGACUCUCACUAAGAUGAUAUAAUGUGCGAGUUGGGUUUCGAAGGGGAAGGGAGGGGAAGGAAAGGCUUAUGGAGUGGUAAACCCUUGUUUGCGAGUUUAAAAAAAAACAAGGGAUAGGUUUUGGGGGGGUUUUGAAGGGCUUCAUUUGACCAAUUUUAAAGUUCCCCCAAAUUUGGGGAUUUUGGGGGGUGAAACAUACAAAUUGACAAUUUUUCCCUGAUAAUAAUUCAAAAUUCCAAUUUUAGACAUGACCAAAUUAAUACAAUCUCCUUUUCAAAAACCACUUAUUCAAAAGAUCUUAUUUAUCCAAAACAACUUAUUACGACCUCUGUUCAAAAAACAACUUAUUCAAAACAAUUUAUUUAUCCAAAACAACUUAUUAUGACCUCUUUUUCAAAAACAGCUUAUUUAUCCAAAACAGCUUCUAACGAUCUCUUAUUCAAAACAACUUAUCUAUGAAAAACAACUUAUUACGACCUCUUUUAAGAAAAACAACUUAUUCAAAACAACUUAUUUAUGCAAAACAGCUUAUUACGACCUCUUUUCAAAAAACAGCUUAUUCAAAACAGCUUAUUUAUGCAAAAUAGCUUAUUACGACCUCUUUUUCAAAAAUAGCUUAUUCAAAACAGCUUAUUUAUGCAAAACAACUUAAUACAACCUCUUUUUCAAAAACAACAUAUUCAAAACAGCUUAUAUAUCCAUAACAGCUUAUUACGAUCUCUUUGCAUAAAUAAGCUAUUUUUCGAAAAGAGGUCGUAAUAAGCUGUUUUGCAUAAAUAAGCUGUUUUUUGAAAAGAGGUUGUAAUAAGUUGUUUAUGCAUAAAUAAGUUGUUUUGAAUAUGCUGUUUUUUUUAAAAGAGGUCGUAGUAAGUUGUUUUGCAUAAAUAAGCUGUUUUUUUUAAAGGAGAUCAUAAUAAGUUGUUUGUCAUAAGAUAAAGUAUUUUGAAUAAGCUCUAUUUUAAAAAGAUAUCAUAAUGAACUGGUUUGCAUUAAUAAGUUGUUUUUCAAAAAGAGAUUGUAAUAAGUUUUUUUUUUGUAAAUAAGUUGUUUUGAAUAAGUUGUUUUUUAAAAAGAGAUCGUAAUAAUUAUUUUUCAUGAGAUAAGCUAUUUUGAAUAAAUUACAAGAUAAAUUACAAAGUAUAACACAAUGUAUUGAUUUUAAGAGAAAAAAAAGGGUAAAAUAGUAAAAUUAUAACAAGCCCUUCAUCUCCUUUCCUUGUUGGUUUUUUAACUCCCAAACAAGGGGAAGGUUUUCCCUCCUUUCUCCCUUCCCUACCUUUCCUUUCCUUCCCCUCCUUGGUCUUUCCUUUCAUUCCCCUCAAAACUCGCAAACAAAGCCGAAGAUAACACCGUAAAGUAUUAAACUCAAUCAUUUACUCUCAUCUAUUGAGAUAUAAAACUCAAUUAUAAUUUUCUUAUAAUAUGUAUCAAUUGACCUUAGUUUGUUCUUAUACCUAAACAUUUUAAGGACAUUCAAAAGGAAGAAAAGAUAACAACAAUUUCAUUAUCAAUUUAACAUGUUUAGGCUUCAAAUUUUUGUUGGAGUACCUCAAUAUGUGACAGUUUCUAAUUUAAUUAAUAUAUCUAAUUGUCAUUCAAUAUAUAUAUAUAUAUAUAUAUAUAUUACAUUCUUCACAAAGAAAUUGCAUGGUCAAAGAAAUAUCUGAAAGCUUGAGACAAAUUAUAACAGCAACAACAUUAUAACAAGAAAAAGAAAAUAGAAGGAUUAGACAUAGCAAAUACAUAUUUUUUUUACCUUUAGAUAAGCUUAUACAAUCACCACCAACACACUUCAUAAGAUAUUUAUAAGAAUUAGGAAAUAGUUCAAGGCAAUCGACAUCAAGAGCACACUUUUCCUUUUUUUUAUACAAUGUAACAAAAUGUUCUGCAAUGUAAAUAAAGAAAAAAUGAAUAUUGUUAAAAGUAGUAAAAUAUUGUCUAUAAGAUAAAAAUUAUAUAUAACAUUGAGCUUACGUUCAGCAGCAACCAAAACAAGCAAUAAGAAGACAAAUAGAAUCACGAUAUGAACAAACUUGAGAAUU
Molecule: long non-coding RNA, 3093 nt
Filed under: Medicago truncatula (barrel medic)
Lineage: Eukaryota; Viridiplantae; Streptophyta; Magnoliopsida; Fabales; Fabaceae
Description: lncRNA gene22454
Source: RNAcentral